This 230-nucleotide ribosomal RNA is filed under the name uncultured bacterium. RNAcentral's name for it is "partial 16S ribosomal RNA". It matches the Rfam family "Bacterial small subunit ribosomal RNA", at positions 99 to 334 of the family's 1533-position model. The record is from RNAcentral.
CGGACGGGUGAGUAAUGUCUGGGAACUGCCCGAUGGAGGGGGAUAACUACUGGAAACGGUAGCUAAUACCGCAUAACGUCGCAAGACCAAAGAGGGGACCUUCGGGCCUCUUGCCAUCGGAUGUGCCCAGAUGGGAUUAGCUAGUAGGUGGGGUAACGGCUCACCUAGGCGACGAUCCCUAGCUGGUCUGAGAGGAUGACCAGCCACACUGGAACUGAGACACGGUCCAG